This is a long non-coding RNA of Phalaenopsis equestris, 432 nucleotides long. RefSeq lists it as uncharacterized. The record is from RefSeq and is a predicted model, not a curated record. Lineage: Eukaryota; Viridiplantae; Streptophyta; Magnoliopsida; Asparagales; Orchidaceae. The transcript is spliced from 3 exons.
GCAUGUAAGCAGCCAUGCGUACGUCUAAGGCACGCAAAUUUUUUCCGUUCGAAACCCUUGUUUUUCUCCCCCGUGCGCAUCCCUCGACGGCGAAGAAGCAGGAGGAGUCACGAUUGGAGCUCAGCGGAGAAACCUCAACGGAAGCAGAGAAGUGGAGAGAGAAAGAGAGAAAGAUUCUAGCCAUAAAGUUUUGAUUUGGAGGUCUUAGAGUUUGAUUCUGGAUUCUAGACAAUUGGGGAAGAUGAUCUACUUGAGGUAUUUCACUCUGUUUAGGACUGUUGACCGUGAAGCUGUAAUGUUCAGCGAUCAUUUUAGUCACUUCUGCACUUAUUGCAUACUACACACAUUGUACACGUGAUUCACAUGUUGUUUAAUUUUAUCCCCACUAUUCAAGCAAACUAUAUAAAGUUUGUAUAAUAUUAUAUUCAUUUU